UGGCAGUCAGAGGCGAUGAAGGACGUGCUAAUCUGCGAUAAGCGUCGGUAAGGUGAUAUGAACCGUUAUAACCGGCGAUUUCCGAAUGGGGAAACCCAGUGUGAUUCGUCACACUAUCAUUAACUGAAUCCAUAGGUUAAUGAGGCGAACCGGGGGAACUGAAACAUCUAAGUACCCCGAGGAAAAGAAAUCAACCGAGAUUCCCCCAGUAGCGGCGAGCGAACGGGGAGCAGCCCAGAGCCUGAAUCAGUGUGUGUGUUAGUGGAAGCGUCUGGAAAGGCGUGCGAUACAGGGUGACAGCCCCGUACACAAAAAUGCACAUACUGUGAGCUCGAUGAGUAGGGCGGGACACGUGGUAUCCUGUCUGAAUAUGGGGGGACCAUCCUCCAAGGCUAAAUACUCCUGACUGACCGAUAGUGAACCAGUACCGUGAGGGAAAGGCGAAAAGAACCCCGGCGAGGGGAGUGAAAAAGAACCUGAAACCGUGUACGUACAAGCAGUGGGAGCACGCUUAGGCGUGUGACUGCGUACCUUUUGUAUAAUGGGUCAGCGACUUAUAUUCUGUAGCAAGGUUAACCGAAUAGGGGAGCCGAAGGGAAACCGAGUCUUAACUGGGCGUUAAGUUGCAGGGUAUAGACCCGAAACCCGGUGAUCUAGCCAUGGGCAGGUUGAAGGUUGGGUAACACUAACUGGAGGACCGAACCGACUAAUGUUGAAAAAUUAGCGGAUGACUUGUGGCUGGGGGUGAAAGGCCAAUCAAACCGGGAGAUAGCUGGUUCUCCCCGAAAGCUAUUUAGGUAGCGCCUCGUGAAUUCAUCUCCGGGGGUAGAGCACUGUUUCGGCAAGGGGGUCAUCCCGACUUACCAACCCGAUGCAAACUGCGAAUACCGGAGAAUGUUAUCACGGGAGACACACGGCGGGUGCUAACGUCCGUCGUGAAGAGGGAAACAACCCAGACCGCCAGCUAAGGUCCCAAAGUCAUGGUUAAGUGGGAAACGAUGUGGGAAGGCCCAGACAGCCAGGAUGUUGGCUUAGAAGCAGCCAUCAUUUAAAGAAAGCGUAAUAGCUCACUGGUCGAGUCGGCCUGCGCGGAAGAUGUAACGGGGCUAAACCAUGCACCGAAGCUGCGGCAGCGACGCUUAUGCGUUGUUGGGUAGGGGAGCGUUCUGUAAGCCUGUGAAGGUGUGCUGUGAGGUAUGCUGGAGGUAUCAGAAGUGCGAAUGCUGACAUAAGUAACGAUAAAGCGGGUGAAAAGCCCGCUCGCCGGAAGACCAAGGGUUCCUGUCCAACGUUAAUCGGGGCAGGGUGAGUCGACCCCUAAGGCGAGGCCGAAAGGCGUAGUCGAUGGGAAACAGGUUAAUAUUCCUGUACUUGGUGUUACUGCGAAGGGGGGACGGAGAAGGCUAUGUUGGCCGGGCGACGGUUGUCCCGGUUUAAGCGUGUAGGCUGGUUUUCCAGGCAAAUCCGGAAAAUCAAGGCCGAGGCGUGAUGACGAGGCACUACGGUGCUGAAGCAACAAAUGCCCUGCUUCCAGGAAAAGCCUCUAAGCAUCAGGUAACAUCAAAUCGUACCCCAAACCGACACAGGUGGUCAGGUAGAGAAUACCAAGGCGCUUGAGAGAACUCGGGUGAAGGAACUAGGCAAAAUGGUGCCGUAACUUCGGGAGAAGGCACGCUGAUACGUAGGUGAAGCGACUUGCUCGUGGAGCUGAAAUCAGUCGAAGAUACCAGCUGGCUGCAACUGUUUAUUAAAAACACAGCACUGUGCAAACACGAAAGUGGACGUAUACGGUGUGACGCCUGCCCGGUGCCGGAAGGUUAAUUGAUGGGGUUAGCGCAAGCGAAGCUCUUGAUCGAAGCCCCGGUAAACGGCGGCCGUAACUAUAACGGUCCUAAGGUAGCGAAAUUCCUUGUCGGGUAAGUUCCGACCUGCACGAAUGGCGUAAUGAUGGCCAGGCUGUCUCCACCCGAGACUCAGUGAAAUUGAACUCGCUGUGAAGAUGCAGUGUACCCGCGGCAAGACGGAAAGACCCCGUGAACCUUUACUAUAGCUUGACACUGAACAUUGAGCCUUGAUGUGUAGGAUAGGUGGGAGGCUUUGAAGUGUGGACGCCAGUCUGCAUGGAGCCGACCUUGAAAUACCACCCUUUAAUGUUUGAUGUUCUAACGUGGACCCGUGAUCCGGGUUGCGGACAGUGUCUGGUGGGUAGUUUGACUGGGGCGGUCUCCUCCUAAAGAGUAACGGAGGAGCACGAAGGUUGGCUAAUCCUGGUCGGACAUCAGGAGGUUAGUGCAAUGGCAUAAGCCAGCUUGACUGCGAGCGUGACGGCGCGAGCAGGUGCGAAAGCAGGUCAUAGUGAUCCGGUGGUUCUGAAUGGAAGGGCCAUCGCUCAACGGAUAAAAGGUACUCCGGGGAUAACAGGCUGAUACCGCCCAAGAGUUCAUAUCGACGGCGGUGUUUGGCACCUCGAUGUCGGCUCAUCACAUCCUGGGGCUGAAGUAGGUCCCAAGGGUAUGGCUGUUCGCCAUUUAAAGUGGUACGCGAGCUGGGUUUAGAACGUCGUGAGACAGUUCGGUCCCUAUCUGCCGUGGGCGCUGGAGAACUGAGGGGGGCUGCUCCUAGUACGAGAGGACCGGAGUGGACGCAUCACUGGUGUUCGGGUUGUCAUGCCAAUGGCACUGCCCGGUAGCUAAAU
RNAcentral lists this ribosomal RNA (2695 nucleotides) under Shigella flexneri. RNAcentral's name for it is "partial 23S ribosomal RNA". It matches the Rfam family "Bacterial large subunit ribosomal RNA". The record is from RNAcentral. Lineage: Bacteria; Pseudomonadati; Pseudomonadota; Gammaproteobacteria; Enterobacterales; Enterobacteriaceae.